UAGGGAAGAAGCUUAUGAUACUUUUGACAGUUUUUGUGUAGCUGAAAAACUAUGAUUUUCCUUUAAAAGAGCCUGGAACUGUAAACCAACUGCCAAACACCCCAACAUGCACUCACAGCAAAUGGGCUAGAUAAUUCAUUCAGCCCCCAAGUAGGGCGUACUCCACAAUGACCACUUCAGAUGUGGCCAUGGAGGAUGCUGAACAAAGAAGAACUAUCCAGUGUGUGACGCCAGGGAGCCACCACUAACAAUAGGGUGGUUAUUGAGAGCCUUAUGGAAACCAAGAGAGCCACAUUAUGCGGGGGUUCCAUCAGCACAGAUGAACAGAAAAGCAAUGUGGAGGCCAAAGCAGAAACACAGAAAAAGAAGCAUGUAAAUACAGGAACCCAACAUAUGAAAACAGUAGUCCCUCAAAGCAAUGGGAAUGACAGACAGUUUAGUAGAUGAUACUGGAAAACUGGCUCACAACGUGGGAGGAAACAAAGCUAUAGCCCUACCUUUUGUUACAUUAAGAUUAUUUUUUAUUAUGUAAGAUAGACUUCAUCUUAAUUACCUAAAUGGAAAAGGCAAAAUUAUAAAGCUAAAAAAGAAAUUAUUAUUUGUUUUCUUUGAAAAUACAUAUAUAAUUUAUAUAUAUACAUGUAUGUGUAUGUAUGUGUUUGGCCAGACACUAUUGUAAGUUAUUUACACAAUUUAACUCAUUCAGUUUUAGUAAAUCCCUAUGAAGAAGGUAACUUUAUUUUUAUGUAUGUAUGUAUGUAUUUAUGUAUUUAUUUGAGUCAGAGUCUUACUCUGUUGCCCAGGCUGAAGUGCAGUGGUGCAAUCACA
This 828-nucleotide long non-coding RNA is filed under the name Homo sapiens (human). RNAcentral describes it as "HSALNT0365895". Lineage: Eukaryota; Metazoa; Chordata; Mammalia; Primates; Hominidae. The record is from RNAcentral.